This 71-nucleotide transfer RNA is filed under the name Vespertilio sinensis (Asian particolored bat). Its description in RNAcentral is "tRNA-Glu". The record is from RNAcentral. Lineage: Eukaryota; Metazoa; Chordata; Mammalia; Chiroptera; Vespertilionidae.
AGUUCUUAUAGUUGAAAUACAACGGUGAUUUUUCGUGUCACUAGUCGUGGGUAUAAAUCCAUGUAAGAAUA